RNAcentral lists this ribosomal RNA (689 nucleotides) under uncultured Chitinophagaceae bacterium. Its description in RNAcentral is "bacterial SSU rRNA". It matches the Rfam family "Bacterial small subunit ribosomal RNA", at positions 8 to 688 of the family's 1533-position model. Lineage: Bacteria; Pseudomonadati; Bacteroidota; Chitinophagia; Chitinophagales; Chitinophagaceae. The record is from RNAcentral.
AGAGUUUGAUCAUGGCUCAGGAUGAACGCUAGCGGCAGGCUUAAUACAUGCAAGUCGAGGGGCAGCAGGGGUGUAGCAAUACACUCGCUGGCGACCGGCAAACGGGUGCGGAACACGUACGCAACUUACCCAAAACUGGGGAAUAGCCCGGGGAAACCCGGAUUAAUACCCCGUAAGAUAAUGAGAAGGCAUCUUCUUAUUAUUAUAGAUUUUAUCGGUUUUGGAUGGGCGUGCGCCUGAUUAGGUAGUUGGCGGGGUAACGGCCCACCAAGCCUACGAUCAGUAACUGGUGUGAGAGCACGACCAGUCACACGGGCACUGAGACACGGGCCCGACUCCUACGGGAGGCAGCAGUAAGGAAUAUUGGUCAAUGGACGCAAGUCUGAACCAGCCAUGCCGCGUGGAGGAUGAAGGCCCUCUGGGUUGUAAACUUCUUUUAUAUGGGACGAAACCCCCGAAUUCUUUCGGGACUGACGGUACCAUAGGAAUAAGCACCGGCUAACUCCGUGCCAGCAGCCGCGGUAAUACGGAGGGUGCAAGCGUUAUCCGGAUUCACUGGGUUUAAAGGGUGCGUAGGAGGGCAGGUAAGUCAGUGGUGAAAUCCCCAAGCUUAACUUGGGAACUGCCGUUGAUACUAUCUGCCUUGAAUACCGUGGAGGUGAGCGGAAUAUGUCAUGUAGCGGUGAAUG